RNAcentral lists this ribosomal RNA (497 nucleotides) under uncultured bacterium. RNAcentral's name for it is "partial 16S ribosomal RNA". It matches the Rfam family "Bacterial small subunit ribosomal RNA", at positions 28 to 507 of the family's 1533-position model. The record is from RNAcentral.
GACGAACGCUGGCGGCGUGCCUAAUACAUGCAAGUUGAGCGCUGAAGGUUGGUACUUGUACCAACUGGAUGAGCAGCGAACGGGUGAGUAACGCGUGGGGAAUCUGCCUUUGAGCGGGGGACAACAUUUGGAAACGAAUGCUAAUACCGCAUAAAAACUUUAAACACAAGUUUUAAGUUUGAAAGAUGCAAUUGCAUCACUCAAAGAUGAUCCCGCGUUGUAUUAGCUAGUUGGUGAGGUAAAGGCUCACCAAGGCGAUGAUACAUAGCCGACCUGAGAGGGUGAUCGGCCACAUUGGGACUGAGACACGGCCCAAACUCCUACGGGAGGCAGCAGUAGGGAAUCUUCGGCAAUGGACGAGAGUCUGACCGAGCAACGCCGCGUGAGUGAAGAAGGUUUUCGGAUCGUAAAACUCUGUUGGUAGAGAAGAACGUUGGUGACAGUGGAAAGCUCAUCAAGUGACGGUAACUACACAGAAAGGGACGGCUAACUACGUG